UUACUCAUUAUAAUCAAGUGUAAACAAUUUGAGAAUGGUCUUGUGCAACCUAGUCAACCAACCAAUCAAAUUGCACCCUUUUGCAUACUUUUGGUUUUAGUCUAAUAUGAGUUACUUCAAGUAAUUACAUAUGUAAUUAAUCAUAUUAAAAUGUAAUUAAAAUGCAGAUAUGCAAUUAAGACAAAUAUAUCACCGUUUAGCACAUUGAUCCCUUCUUAACCGAGAAACUGAGAUUCUCACUACAAUAAAUCACUUAAGUUCAUGUUAAAUCAUAAAGUAGAAGUUCAAUAACAUGUAUCAUGUAUUAUCACAGUUUAAGAAAAGUAUUCGAUCACGUAUUAAAACACAAUUAAGGCACAUGUGUAGCAAGUAGUCGUGAUCAUGCAUCAUGAAUAAUGAAUUCUAACUAUAUGCAUUGAUGCAAUAUGCUUAUUAUUGGCCAU
Molecule: long non-coding RNA, 443 nt
Filed under: Erythranthe guttata (spotted monkey flower)
Lineage: Eukaryota; Viridiplantae; Streptophyta; Magnoliopsida; Lamiales; Phrymaceae
Description: long non-coding RNA (EGUT_LNC001140)
Source: RNAcentral